AGGCAUGAGCCACUGCGCCCAGCUCAUUGAUAUUUAUUGAAUGCCUCCUAUUUGUCUGGCCCUGGGGAUGGUGGAGCGAAGAAGAAAAACUGAAUCUUGGCUCUCAUGGAGAGGAUGGGGGAGAGCGUUAGCACCAGCAACAGUGACCUCACACAGUGAGGGCACUGGGAAGGAAAUAAAAGAGGCAACACAGAGUGAUAGUGACACAGGAGAGUGGACUGGAAAGGCCGUCCUGAGGAGGAGACAUUUGGCUCAGCCGUGAAUGCAUCUAAAUCAGUAACUCAACCUCUCCUGUGAAUGCGUUUUACGAGGCCAGGAUAUGGUUUGGAGAAAUGCAGAUUCCUGGGCCCAGCAAAUCUGGGGAUGAUGACAAGGCAUCAUCGUGGGACACCAGCUUAGCAAUAGCACCCCCAGAAUAAGACUGCUUCCAGUUCAAUAAACCGCUACAAAGAGUCUAUUAAUGGUGGUAUCCAUCUGGACCUGCGGCCAUAGAGAAGAGACCCAAGCACAGUGGUUAUUAAAAAGCCCAUAUCCUUCAAAAAUUAUGAGUAGAUAUUAUAAAUUCCAAAAUGAUGAAGAGUUCAGGAUGAGAAGAUGGGGACUCACCCAGAACAAAGCAGCACACUGAUUUAUCCUUUGUCUCCUGACAGCAUUCCUUCCCCCGCUGGUCAUCCCGCCCAAUCACACAUGU
RNAcentral lists this long non-coding RNA (691 nucleotides) under Homo sapiens (human). RNAcentral describes it as "non-protein coding lnc-HS3ST2-1:1". The record is from RNAcentral. Lineage: Eukaryota; Metazoa; Chordata; Mammalia; Primates; Hominidae.